RNAcentral lists this long non-coding RNA (38850 nucleotides) under Triticum aestivum (bread wheat). RNAcentral describes it as "long non-coding RNA (TAES_LNC003971)". The record is from RNAcentral. Lineage: Eukaryota; Viridiplantae; Streptophyta; Magnoliopsida; Poales; Poaceae.
ACGCCAUCUCCGAGGGCACCAAGGCCGUCACCAUGUACACGUCCUCCUGAAGUGUACAUGCACGUCAGAAGCAGGGCUUGCAGCAGGGUGCAUUGUUCUACUAGUAGUUAGUUUAAGUUUAGUCUUGUGUCUCCGUGGCAGGCAUGCAUGCAUGCGUGGUUUAGUCCGGACUUACUUUUGGUGGUGGUGCCGGUCUCCAUGGAGGUCCGAUUUGCAAUGCAGUAAAAGUAGUUUCAAGUUGGUGCCUGAUGAUGUACCUAGUGUAGUUGGUUGGACAAUUAGCGCCUAGAGCUAAUGGUGUCUUGUGCUUCGUGUGGUUUUUUUUUUGUUGUUGCGGAAAUUGUGCUUCGUGUGGUUGAUGCACUAGUAGUUUGUUGCAAGUUAAAUUUAGCUGCCGGUUUACAUUUCCAUCAAAUCAAAUGGUUGUAUAUAUAUGUGUUCUAGCAGAUGAGUCCUUAAUCAGUUUAUGUGAGUGUGGCUACCAACAGUAUUUUUAGAAUAAACUUAAGACUUACUUUUGCACUGGUAUAUAAUUUUUUGCACUGGCUAUUCAACCUUGUUGAUUCGCUCAGCUUUAUUGUCAGUAGCUCAGCUUUGGUUAUUGAAGGAAUAUGGGACCCAGCUACACUUAGAGUCCAUUGCAUGUCGUGAAGCAAUUGACCUCGCUGAAGAUCCUGAUCUUCAACGUUUUGUCGUGAAGCAAGUUAUUGGGGACAUUGCCAAAGGAAUUCAGGGGUCUUACCGAGUUAUUGUUAGUGAAGUCAAGGCGAGAGCAGCACAUUUCUCCUAUAAUUUUAUUUUCCAAAGUCGUCUAGUUAAUUUAGAAGCUCACAAGUUAGCUAAAUUUAAGUAAUAAACUGGCUUUAUCCUCAAAAAAGAAAAAAAAAAGAGUUCAAGGCCCAAGUGGAAGAGAAGAAGCAAGCGAUACAGAGAGAAUAGCUAUAUAAGGAAGCAGAGGAAGAGGCUAUAUGAGGAAGCAGAGGAAUAGCCAUAAGGCCCAUAACGUCUCCCGAGGGGUUCCGGUAACCUCCCGGUACUCCGGAAAAAUGCCCGAACCACUCGGAACUUUUCCGAUGUCGGUAUCUCAAUACCUAGUUCAAUCUCGUUACCAGCAAGUCUAUUUACUCGUUCCGUAAUACAUCAUCCCGCAACUAACUCAUUAGUUACAAUGCUUGCAAGGCUUAUAGUGAUGUGCAUUACCGAGUGGGCCCAGAGAUACCUCUCCGACAAUUCGGAGUGACAAAUCCUAAUCUCGAAAUACGCCAACCCAACAAGUACCUUCGGAGACACCUGUAGAGCACCUUUAUAAUCACCCAGUUACGUUGUGAUGUUUGGUAGCACACAAAGUGUUCCUCCGGUAAACGGGAAUUGCAUAAUCUCAUAGUCAUAGGAACAUGUAUAAGUCAUGAAGAAAGCAAUAGCAACAUACUAAACGAUCAAGUGCUAAGCUAACGGAAUGGGUCAAGUCAAUCACAUCAUUCUCCUAGUAAUCAAAUGACAACUCAUGUCUAUUAUUCAUGCUAAAUGUUUAUUAUUCAUGCUAAAUGUUUAUUAUUCAUGCUAGAAUUAUAUUAACCGGAAACUUAGUACAUGUGUGAAUACAUAGACAAACAGAGUGUCCCUAGUAUGCCUCUACUUACUAGCUCGUUAAUCAAAGAUGGUUAAGUUUCCUAGCCAUGGACUGUGUUGUCAUUUGAUGAACGGGAUCACAUCAUUAGAAUGAUGUGAUGGACAAGACCCAUCCGUUAGCUUAGCACUAUGAUCGUUUAGUUUAUUGCUAUUGCUUUCUUCAUGACUUAUACAUGUUCCUAUGACUAUGAGAUUACGCGACUCCCGAAUACCGGAGGAACACUUAGUGUGCUAUCAAACGUCACAACGUAACUGGGUGAUUAUAGAGAUGCUCUACAGGUGUCUCCGAUGGUGUUUGUUGAGUUGGCAUAGAUUGAGAUUAGGAUUUGUCACUCCGUGUAUCAAGAGGUAUCUAUGGGCCCUCUCGGUAAUGCACAUCACUAUAAGCCUUGCAAGCAAUGUGACUAAUGAGUUAGUUGUGGGAUGAUGCAUUACGGAACGAGUAAAGAGACUUGCCGGUAACGAGAUUGAACUAGGUAUGAUGAUACCGACGAUCGAACCUUGGGCAAGUAGCAUACCGACGACAAAGGGAACAACGUAUGUUGUUAUGCGCUAUAGAGAUCUUCGUAGAAUAUGUAGGAGCCAAUAUGAGCAUCCAGGUUCCGCUAUUGGUUAUUAAUCGGAGAUGUGUCUCGGUCAUGUCUACAUAGUUCUCCAAUCCGUAGGGUCCGCACGCUUAACGUUCGAUGACGAUUUGUAUUAUGAGUUAUGUGAUUUGAUGACCGAAGAUUGCUCGGAGUCCCGAAUGAGAUCACGGACAUGAUGAGGAGUCUCGAAAUGGUCGAGAGGUAAAGAUUCAUAUAUUGGAAGGUUGCAUUCGGAUGUGACGUUGCUGUGACGUGAUGUGAAAGGUGGGCGAAAGAUAGGAGUGGUGGGAUGUGGUAGGAUGUGAGGCGAGACUACCAACUGAGACAUUAAGAAUAGAGAUAUUAACUGGUACAGUUUUUCUCUUACACUUACCAAAAUUAAUCACAUAGUAAUGAUGCUAAUGUUUUUAAGAAUGUUUUUGAAUAUUAAUAAUGUGUACAUGACAAUCAUAGUGUUACCCUCACAAACAUGGUUGUGCUAACUUUCUAUUUGAAAUCAUCAUCCAAAAUCAAAGUUACGCUAGGUUUCUGUUGUCGCAGUUUAGUUCGAGACAUUGUGUGCUAAGAAGACCACUCAUUUAGUUGAACUAUGUUAGAUAUAAGUAAAAUAAAAGGACAGAGCAAGUAAUCAAUUUAUCUCAUUUAUAUGGAUAUAGUGUAUUAAUAUAUGUUCAUGCCACUUCAGUAUUUCUUAAUAUCUUUGGAGAGCUGUAGAGUGUACAUGCAUAACAAAAAGAGCCCGGUGUUUAAUUUGUUCCCUAUAGCGUAUGAUUUUCAACCUUAAAUGAAAAAUAAUGGCGAAUAGUGGCAUAACUAAACUUAAACAUAUUGUAUGCCUUCAAGGAAUUAUAGAUGGGAUGCUUCGACACAGAUGGCUGAGAGGGGAAUCCUGGUACCCCGCCUCCGGCUAAUAGGUAGGUUAGGGAGUCCCCACGAGGGUGGCGCUCUUGCAAAUCAUCUUCGAGUUGUCUUCUGGGACUUGAUUAUUCUCGAGUUGUCCCUUGGGAUGGAGUCAUAUGGAGCUCUGGCGUUAAUUUCGGUUGACUCCUUGGGGUGGCGAGGUUAGCAUGUCUCGUCAUGUGUGCGUGAAGAGAUUCGGUUGCAUGUGCUUCAGAUCAAUUAUAAGGGUUCAACAGCGACGAGUGUGUAUUUGGGGUGUUGGUCCUUAGGGACACAUGCAUGCAGACUUUCCGAUUGUCAUCCAUAAGGUCAGACUAGCUCCACUAGGGAGCAGCCAUAGCGGCUUGAUACGUCUUCGUCGUAUCUAUAAUCUUUUAUUGUUCCAUGCCAAUACUAUACAACUUUCAUAUACUUUUGGCAACUUUUUAUACUAUUUUUGGGACUAACAUAUUGAUCCAGUGCCCAGUGCCAGUUCCUGUUUGUUGCAUGUUUUUUGUUUCGUAGAAAAUCCAUAUCAAACGGAGUCCAAAAGGGAUAAAAACUUACGGGGAUUUUUUUUGAAAUAUAUGUGAUUUUUGGGAAGAAGAAUCAACGCAAGACGAUGCCCGAGGGGGCCAUGAGGCAGGGGGCACGCCCUAGGGGGGGUGGGCGCGCUCCUGACCCUCGUGGACACCCAAUAAGGCGGUUGGCGCCCUUCUUUCGCCGCAAGAAAGCCAAUAUCCGGAUAAAAAUCGUGUCCAAAUUUCAGCCCAAUCGGAGUUACGGAUCUCCGGGAAUAUAAGAAACGGUGAAAGGCCAGAAUAUAUCAAAGUGCAUCAUCUAAUUAACUUGGCUCAAGUUACAUACCACACUACAGGCCUGCCUCCAAAUCGAUGGAUAUGCUUAUCAUUUCAACGCUUUGUUGAUCCUACAAAUUAUUUAUGAUUAAUUGAUAUACAAUGGCAUUCAAAUAAAUAAUUACUCAUAAUUGGUCAAUUUCAUUACCUCUGCUAAGCGUCUAGUGUUGGAUGGCUUGGGUAUGGACAAGACUGUUAAACAAGGGGCACACUUUCCGGACACAAUUAUUCCAGUGUAAACUAUGAAUUAUAUUUUAUUUCCAUGAAUAGUGCUGCAUAUUGUCGAAUAUGGGCUCAAGGGGUGACGUAAUUAAGGACCUGGCUUUCCUUUAGUGAAACGACUCACCACACAAAAGAUAUUGUCAGCAACCUAUGCUUCCCUGCAACAAUGUUGAAUAAGUUUUGGUUUCCAUAAUAACCAUAACAUCUAUAAGAAGCUUUCUACAGUAUAAACUCGUGCCAUAAAAAAUAGAAGUUGUUGAACAGAGAGGUAGUACUCAGGAUCACCAUGAUAAACCAUUGUUUCCUGGAAAUAUUAUGUGGAAGAACUCAUUUAUGCUUUUUGCUACUUCAGCAGCGCCAAAGACUUGUGCCAUGGUUUGCCGCCGAGCUGGAAGAUUAUACCAAACUCUCCUACAUAACUAGCUACUGAAUUAUUGAAACAAGAAGGAAUUUAUAGAACAAAUUAUGUCACUGAACAUGAGACACAAUCCAAGCAUGGGAACUAAAACCAACACAACAUACCAUGUAUUACUUAUUAUGUAUUGUUCUCAAGACAUUGAUCAUCUCAGACACAAAUACACACAAAUCUUUUGUUCUUCUCAAGCUUCUCACCAUCCUUUUCCCUUUCAUUGGCUGCUAAUGAAGCUUCAAAAAUUGUUUCUACCAUUGGCUGCAAAUGUAAUCCUUCCAUCAGUUCUAUUGGGUUGAAAAGUGGUUUGUCUUUGUCCUCCUCACUUAUCACCAGGCUUGGACACAACAAGCAAUUACACUCUGCAAGAUUUCUUGUCAUGCAUGAUAAACAUCACUUCCAGGCCGGCGGUGCUCACUAUGUCACCAAGCUAUCUUGGCGACACAUCACUGUGACAUGGCUUGUGCACGUUGAGCACGAACCCUUGCUCGGGUCCCAUAAACACCUAAUUCAUUUGUAUUGCAGUUAUUCACUGCCUCCCUCAGAAAGUACCAGCAGAUUGUGCACUGUUGAGGCCCCGGAACGACACCAGCCGCAGGGGGGAGGCAAGGUCUAGAUUUCCCGGUCCCCAUGUCAAAGACCAUGCCUUGAUCCCUACCUCGCCCACCUAUCCAGUAGACACAGUUACCCUUGAGCCCUGGAACACCUUCAGCAUGCAUCGACACCGCAUUGCUCCUCCCAACAAACACCGAGUAUCCCCCCAAGUCAGCCACCGCGUCCCAGCAAGGCCUGCGCCGGGGAUCAUACUUGAGAACAAAUAUUUCAUCCUCCUCUAUACGGUGAUGACCGCCUCCCGCCAGAUGCAAAGUGACCGUACAACUAGCAUUCCUCCAGAUCUGGUACAGGUUGCCAUUGCAGAACACCAGGUUCUUGGCACUCGUGAAAGCCGAAACAGCGACGUACAGUGGGGCGAAACUGCUCACCGAAGACAAGAGCAGUGGUUGCACGCUAGCCGGCGCGUUCAGGUCCGGUCCGGCAUUGUGCAUUCGAAUGAUGCGCCUGUUACGCGAUACAAGAUCCUCUGUUGAUGUCUGGUCCUCGAUGAUGACUGGUUCCCGACGGCGGCGUUCCGGUAGGCGGAGCACAUAGACAUUCCCAAGCCGAGUGAGGCAGUAAACCAUACCAUUUUGACCAUUUUGAUGGUAGACGACAUCGAUGAGCUGGUCUCCGAUGGCAAGACGGACGCGGUCAAGGACGACCCACCUCCUGGCCCCCGCAGUGACGUAGGCGAGCCUGUCGAUGUCGCAGAUGGUGGCGGCGGCUGUGACGCCUCCGGUUUGACCGUACACUAAUCAUGCACGCAAAUGUGUACGAUCAAGGUCAGGGACUCACGGGAAGAUAUCACAACACAACUCUACAACAUAAAUAAGUCAUACAAGCAUCAUAAUACAAGCCAGGGGCCUCGAGGGCUCGAAUACAAGUGCUCGAUCACAGAUGAGUUAACGGAAGCAACAAUAUCUGAGUACAGACAUAAGGUAAACAAGUUUGCCUUAAGAAGGCUAGCACAAACAGGGAUACAGAUCGAACGAGGCGUAGGCCUCCUGCCUGGGACCUCCUAACUACUCCUGGUCGUCGUCAGCGGCCUGCACGUAGUAGUAGGCACCUCCGGUGUCGUAGGUGUCGUCGUCGACGGUGGCGUCUGGCUCCUAGACUCCAGCAUCUGGUUGCGACAACCAGAUAGGAAAGAAAGGGGGAAAAGAGGGAGAGAAGCAACCGUGAGUACUCAUCCAAAGUACUCGCAAGCAAGGAGCUACACUACAUAUGCAUGGGUAUAUGUGUAAAGGGGCAUAUCAGUGGACUGAACUGCAGAAUGCCAGAAUAAAAGGGGGAUAGCUAGUCCUAUCGAAGACUACGCUUCUGGUCAUCUCCAUCUUGCAGCAGGUAGAAGAGAGUAGAUUGAAGUCCUCCAAGUAGCAUCGCGUAGUAUAAUCCUACCCGGCGAUCCCCUCCUCGUCGCCCUCACUCAGUCGACUAGGUCGCUGACGUCAAGAAGGCUUCGGCUGAUACCACGACGCCGGGAUACCCAUAACUACUCCCGCGUAGAUGGCUAGUGCGUAUAGACCAAAUGGCCAGACUCAGAUCAAAUACCAAGAUCUCGUUAAGCGUGUUAAGUAUCCACGAACGCCGACCAGGGCCAGGCCCACCUCUCACCUAGGCGGUCUCAACCUGCCCUGUCGCUCCGCCACAAAGAUCCACUUGCGGGUACUCCUACGAGCCGACCCGACUUUUAGUCAUCACAUGUGUCAUGUAUGUAGUAUAUAAGUAUAUACCCGUGAUCACCGCCCAGGUGAUCACGGCCCGAUAGUAUAGCACAGCAGACGGACAAGAAUGUAGGGCCACUGAUGGAAAUCUAGCAUCCUAUAGUAAGCAUGUAGGAUUGCAGGUAAAGGUAUCAACAGUAGUAGCAAGGAUAGGCUAUGCAUCAGGAUAGGAUAUCGAAAAGCAGUAACAUGCUACACUACUCUAAUGCAAGCAGUAUAGAGAAGAAUAGGCGAUAUCUGGUGAUCAAGGGGGGGGCUUGCCUGGUUGCUCUGGCAAGUAGGAGGGGUCGUCGACUCCGUAGUCGAACUGGGCAGCAGCAGUGUCGGUCUCGUAGUCUACCGGAGAGAAGAGGGGGAAGAAACAGUAAAUACAAUGCAAACAUAAGCAUGACGAUGCGUGACAUGACAAUGAGCGGUGCUAGGUGUGCCCUAACGCGACAGUAGGUGGUACCGGCGAAAGGGGGGGAACAUCCGGGAGGUAUUCCCGAUGUUUCGCGUUUUCGGACAGACGGACCGGAGGGGGAAAGUUGCUAGUUCGAUAGGUUAGGGAGGUGUGGUGGACGAACGGACUGCGUAUUCGGAUUCGUCUCGUCGUUCUGAGCAACUUUCAUAUAGAAAACAUUUUCAUCCGAGUUACGGUUUAAAAGAUAUGAAUUUUCAAAGUUUAUUUGAAUCUCUGGAAUUAUCUAUAUUAAGAAAAUGAAUUAUGACGUCAGCAUGAGGCAAUGCUGACGUCAGCAAGUCAACAGGUCGGCUGACCAGUCAAACCAGACAGGUGGGUCCAGUGGGACCCACAUGUCAGCCUCUGUUAUUCUAAUAUCUAUUUAAACUAAUCUAACAGUAUAAUUAGAGGGGGUGGGCCCCACAUGUCAGUGAGUGAUUAGUUAAAAUAAUUAUUUUUAUUUACAAAACAUUUUCUUUUUCUUUUAUUUUUGCGGCGGGGCCCGCAUGUCAGUGACUGGGCCUGCCCAGUCAGCAGUUGACUGGGUCAACCCAGUCAACUGGGGCCCGUGGGGGCCACUGGCAGGGACACUGGGGGGUGGGGCCAGGCCAGCCUCGUCAGCGGCCGGCGCCGGAGCUACGCCGGCGACCAAACGCACGGCGGCGCGGCUCAGGAGGGGUACGGGCUUCGCGUACAUGGGGUCUUCGGGGGCGUGGCUGGGCGCGUUCGACGCGGCUCGGCGUCGCGCGUCCAACGGCGGUGGUCGGAGGGGCUGGAACGGCCGGGGGCGAGUGCUUCGAGCUCGCCGGCGGCGAGGAGCUACGGGUGCCCGACGGAAACACAGCUACGGCGAGCUAUCGAGAAAGCGGAGGGGCUGGGGGGCAUCUACAAACGGCGGGGAGUGCAACGGGCUUAACCCCGUGACCAUUUGGUCACCGGAGACCCGCCGGCGGCGAGCUCCGCGGCGCGGCGUUCGGGCGCGCGUGGGGGAGCAGCUACGGAGCGCGGGCGAGCUAGCGGAGAGGGGGAGGAGGUAGAGGAGCUCACCGCGCGGCGCAAGAAAGGCCCGUGGGUGGCUUAGUAGCAGCAGCAGUCGCCGGAGUCGAAGGAGACGGCGGCGACCCGAGGAAAAAGGCGACGGCGUUGGGGGGCGAUGUAGGGGGUCCCGGCUCGAGCAGGUGGUCGGGGAGGACGGGCUCGACGCGGCGGAGCUCGGGGACACGUCGGGGAGGAGAACGGGGCUCGGUGGCCGCGUGAAUGACGGUGAANNNNNNNNNNNNNNNNNNNNNNNNNNNNNNNNNNNNNNNNNNNNNNNNNNNNNNNNNNNNNNNNNNNNNNNNNNNNNNNNNNNNNNNNNNNNNNNNNNNNNNNNNNNNNNNNNNNNNNNNNNNNNNNNNNNNNNNNNNNNNNNNNNNNNNNNNNNNNNNNNNNNNNNNNNNNNNNNNNNNNNNNNNNNNNNNNNNNNNNNNNNNNNNNNNNNNNNNNNNNNNNNNNNNNNNNNNNNNNNNNNNNNNNNNNNNNNNNNNNNNNNNNNNNNNNNNNNNNNNNNNNNNNNNNNNNNNNNNNNNUGCUUUCCUUUUUUGUUCUGUUUUGUUUUCUGUUUUCCUUUUACUUGUUUAUUUCCUUUUCUGUUUUAUUUCAUUUAAAGUAUUUUGGCAUUUUAUAAAAAGGAGUUUUCUCCACCAUAAUUGCCAGUGUAUUAUUUAGCACCCACAGAACAUUUUUGUUUGAGUUUUUGAAAACUUUUAUUUUUCACUUUAAUUAUAUUUGAAGUUUGAACUAGGAGUUAGAAAAGGAAGGUGAUUCAAAUGUGAUCAAGCCCUGUUUAGCAACAUGAUUAGCUUAAUCACAGGGAGUUACUGUAGCAUGAUUCCCAGGGUGUUACAAAUCUCCUCCACUACAAGAAAUCUCGUCCUGAGAUUUAGGAGGUAGAAGGAAACAGUGCGGGGUAUUCUUCGCGCAGACGAUCCUCUCGUUCCCAAGUGGCCUCAUCUUCAGAAUGGUGCGACCACUGGACUUUGAGAAACUUGAUCGCCUUCUGACGUGUGCGGCGUUCAGCUUGGUCGAGAAUGCGGACCGGAUGCUCCUUAUAGGAGAGGUCCUGCUGCAAUUCGAGCACUUCAUGAUCCACAGCUCGGAUUGGAUCCUUGAAGCAACGGCGGAGCUGUGACACAUGGAACACAUCGUGAACGUGAGAGAGGUUCGGCGGUAGUUCCAGUUGGUAUGCCACUUUUCCACGCUUUUCGAGAAUAGUGAAUGGGCCAAUAUAGCGAGGAGCUAGUUUGCCCUUGAUCCCGAAGCGGUGAGCACCCUUCAUAGGUGUGACUCGAAGAUAGGCCUUUUCGCCAGGUUGAUAGACCAUGUCUUUAUGAUGACGGUCAUACUGACUCUUCUGACGUGACUGAGCAGUCUUGAGAUUCUCGCGAAUAAUGCGGACUUGUUCUUCGGCAUCUUGGAUAAUAUCCGGACCGAAGAGUGGACGUUCCCCAGUUUCUGACCAGUUCAGGGGGGUUCGGCACUUUCGUCCAUAUAACACUUCGAAGGGGGCCAUCUUCAGACUAGCUUGAUAGCUAUUAUUAUAAGAGAACUCAGCAUACGGGAGAGAUUCCUCCCAUUUCUUGCCGAAGGAAAUAACACAAGCUCGAAGCAUGUCUUCGAGAACUUGAUUGACGCGUUCAACUUGUCCUUGCGAUUGAGGAUGAAAUGCAGUACUGAAUGACAGAUGAGUUCCCAUUGCUUCUUGGAAACUUGCCCAGAAUCUUGAAGUGAAUAAGCUGCCACGGUCUGAGCUGAUAACCAAUGGAAUACCGUGGAGUGAAACAAUCCUGGACAUAUAGAGCGUUGCCAACUGGCUAGCAGUGAUCGUUUCUUUGACUGCCAGGAAAUGUGCAACUUUGGAAAGCCGGUCAAUGACGACAAGAAUAGCAUCAUUACCUUUCUGUGAUUUGGGAAAUCCAGUGACGAAGUCCAUCUCAACAUGGUCCCAUUUCCAUUCAGGAAUAGAGAUAGGUUGCAGAGUUCCAGCAGGCCUUUGAUGUUCUGCUUUGAUACGACGGCAAACGUCACACUCAGCAACAUAACGAGCAAUGUCUUGCUUCAUAUUAGACCACCAGAAUCUUUGUCGGAUGUCUUGAUACAUCUUUGUACUACCAGGAUGGAUACACAGAGGCGUAUCAUGAGCUUCUUUCAUAACUUCCUGUGUCAUAUCCAGGUUUUUCUCUGCAUAUGGCACCACUAGGCGGCCCUUGAAGUAUAGGGUGCCAUCUUCAGCAAUGGUGAAGAAUGAGGGCUUUCCUUCUGCGAGGUAGCGCUUAAUCUUGUGGGCUUCAGAGUCAUACUUCUGUAGCCUUUUGAUGCUAUCCACGAGAUCUGGUUUAGCAACUAGGGUAUUGAGGAAACCCUGGGUAACAACGUGGAGGUUCACCUUGCCAAAUUCCUUAGGAGGGGGAGCGAGUGCACCCGGAGGAACAAUAUGGAGGUUCAGCUUCCUGAAUUCUUCAACAAGUGAGGGCUGAACUUUAUGAACCUGGAGGUGGUUGCAGUAAGACUUGCGGCUCAAGGCAUCAGCCAUUACAUUAGCCUUGCCUGGCGUAUAGGAAAUACCCAAGUCAAAGUCUGCAACGAGCUCCAUCCAUCUCUGCUGACGGAGGUUCAGGUCUGGCUGAGUAAACAGAUACUUCAGACUUUGGUGGUCGGUGAAGAUCUCGCAACGAUUACCGAGAAGGUAAUGUCGCCACUGCUUCAGCGCAAGAAUGACGGCAGCAAGUUCGAGGUCGUGAACUGGGUAGUUCUCUUCGUGAGGGCGCAAUUGUCGAGAGGCAUAGGCAAUCACUUUGCGGUCUUGCAUUAGGACACAGCCUAAUCCUUGACGGGAAGCGUCGCAGUAAAUGACGAAGUCCUUCUUAGUAUCAGGUGGAGCUAGAACUGGGGCAGAAGUCAACUUGUCUUUGAGUGCCUGGAAACUUUCCUGACAUUUGUCUGUCCAUUGGAACUUGACGCCCUUAUGUAACAGGUUAGUCAGAGGCCUGGCGAUCUUGGAGAAGUUCUCGACAAAUCGACGGCAAUAGCUGGCGAGACCGAGAAAACUUCUGACUUGCUUAACGUUCUUGGGAGGAGUCCAAUCAAGAAUAGCCUGAACUCGCUCGGGGUUGACGGCAAUACCAUCCUUAGAGAUGACAUGCCCCAGAUAGGUUACUUCCGGUAGCCAGAAUCCACAUUUAGAGAACUUGGCAUAUAGUUGAUGUUCUCGUAGUUUUUCCAGCACAAGACGAAGAUGUUCAGCAUGUUCUUCUUCGUUCUUGGAAAAUAUCAGGAUAUCAUCCAGAUAAACCACGACGAACUUGUCGAGGUAAUCCAUGAAUAUGUAGUUCAUCAGACGAGAGAAGGUGGCUGGAGCAUUGGUUAAACCGAAAGACAUGACGGUGUACUCGUAUGAACCAUAGCGAGUCACGAAGGCGGUCUUUGGGAUAUCCUCUUCGCGAACACGGAUCUGGUGGUAGCCCAACCUCAAGUCGAGCUUAGAGAACACUGACGAACCCGCCAGUUGAUCAUACAGAUCAUUGAUCCGAGGAAGAGGGUAUUUAUUCUGAAUGGUAGCUUGGUUUAUAGGACGGUAGUCUUGAACUAACCGGUUUGUCCCAUCCUUCUUCUUGACAAAAAGAGAAGGUGCUCCCCAAGGAGAGCAACUUGGGCGAAUGAAUCCUUUGCGAAGAGACUUGUCGAUUUCCUCCUUAAGCUCAAGGAGUUCAUGCGGCGGCAUUUUGUAGGGUCGCUUGGCUAUAGGAGUGGUGCCUGGUUUCAAGUCGAUGAUGAAUUCGACAGCUCUAGCAGGGGUAAUCCCUGGAAGUUCUUCAGGGAAGACGUCGAGGAAUUCACGCACGACGGGAAUGUUUUCAAUGCCCUCGAGUGGUGCAGCGUUCAAGGCAUUCAAUGCGUAAAGCCUUGCCUCGGCAUUUUGCACCAGAUUAGCUUGGUAAGCAACUAUUUCAUCUGAAGGGUGUAGCAGAUGGACGGUCUUAGUGGCGCAAACUAUAGAAGCAGUAUGCGCUUUCAACCAAUCCAUACCCAAAAUGAGGUCGAUGUUAGACGUCUUCAGGAUAAUGGGAGAGGCAUAGAAUUCCAGCCCUUCGAUUUCCACGGGGACAUCGAUGCCAACCAAGGAGGUCUGACACUGUCCCACGGGGGUUUUGACCAAUACAGAGGUGUCCAUCUCCUCACAUUUAACGUCGUGCUUGUAUGCAAAAUCUUAUGACAUGAAUGAACGCGAUGCACCUGUAUUAAAUAAAACGGAUGCUGGUACUGAAUUUACAAGGAGUGUACCCAUCACAGUAGCAGGCUGGUCUUGAGCUUCGUUGAGAUCAACGUGGUUGGCAUGAGCACGACCAUAAGACUUAGCAUUGUUGUUGCGGGGCUGAUUGUUACCACGGCCAGUUGCUGGAAGGGCCAGUUGAUUCUGGUUCUGGUUGCAUUCUUUAGCACGGUGUCCUGGUUGUCCACACCUGAAGCACAAGCCAUUAUUCGGAGUGGGAACAGGAGCUUGGGAUGGUGGAGCUGGAAGUGUUGACUGCCUGGACGGUGGUGGAGGCAGACGAGGGGCAGCAUAGGUCUGCUUUGGGGCAGAUGCAUUUGGACGGUACAUGCUGUUCGGGAUCCAUAUCUUACGCUUUUGUGAGGGCGAGCCCGAAGAUGAGCCCGUGUCACGGUUGCGCCUGUGAGAGCUCUGGUAUUCCUGCAGACCAGUUUCGACAUUGAUGGCCUUGUUCACCAAGGUGGCGAAAUCAGCAAAGUCAUGCACUAGAAGUGCGAGCUUGAUGUCAGCUUGAAGGCCAUCACGGAACUUCUCCUGUCUGCGUGCAUCAGUUGCAAUGUCUUCUUCAGCAUAGCGGGACAAGUCCAGAAACUCCCGCUGAUAAGCUUCGACAGAUUUGUUGCCUUGGGUGAGGUUGCGGAACUCACGCUUCUUCCGGUCCAUGACUCCUUGAGGAAUGAAGCGGGCACGGAAAGCAGCUUGGAAGUCUGGCCAUGUGAUGAUUGUUCCAGCUGGCAGAGUACGCCUGUGGCUGUCCCACCAUUGAGCUGCGGGUCCCUUCAGAAAGAAGGAAGCAAAGUUGACAUAGCUGGCAGGGGCUACAUCAGCAGACUCCAACUCAUAGGUGAUGUCACGAAGCCAGUCAUCAGCAUCCAGAGGCUGAGUUGAGCUGUGGUAGAUGGUUGGGUUGAGGCGUAUGAAAUCUUGAAGAGUCACUUGGGCUGGCUGCUGGUUCAUAUUGGGGCGAGGAAACUGAGCCAUCAUAUUUUCCAUGAACUGGCGGUUCAGUUCAAACUGUUGGAUCAUACCAGCCAUGUACUCAGGUGGUGGUGGGGCAUCGCCACCACGACCACGACCACCUGACCAUCCUGCUAAUAUAUAACAGGGGUAGUUCAGCAUUGAGAAAUUUGCAAUGACAAGAAUCAUUCAUGAUGAAACAUGCAUAAUGAAAGGGGCACGAUAGCUAUUACAUAGUAGUCGGCAUAACUUACAAAAGCGGUCAUGCAUAGAGUUCAGUACACAGAGUUCAGUACAUAGACUAAAACAUCAUAGGCGGCACACAGGCUCGCGGCGAAUGCAACUAAUACUAAACUAAGCAGGACUACAUCAGUCCCAAGAGGUACUGUGGAGGUAAUCGUAGCCCGACAGCUGGUAGUGAGGCAACGGAUAGCCCUCCACGUCAGCAGACUGGGGGCCGCGGAUACUCAGGUGUAGAGCCCGACGCUCAGGUGGCAGAAGAGGACCAAGUGCGGGAGAGUAGCCUCCCACCUCUGGCCAACCAACACCGUGGGGCAUCACGGUCCUGGAUGGGUAGAUCGCAGCACGCGGUACCUGUCCAGACCGGACAAAGGGGUGCAACAGCGUCAGAGCACGGUAAAGGUGCUGACGGGUGGUGUACAUCUCGUGGCGAAGAGCUCGGUUAGCUCGAUCCAGCCCAUCAGCAUGCAGAACCAGGUGCUGAUGGUAGAAGGGCUCUCGGGUGACAGUGGAGUAGGCAGCAGUAUAGUAUCCCUCCGCACCAACAUCAGAGGCGAUAGCAAUGUGUCUGACAGGGGAGGUGUCCAACUCCCGAUACUCUCCACGAAGACGUGUCAGAGCAGCAUAGGCAGCAUCGUGGACAGCCAUAUCGAUGGUCACACCAACACCAUGUGCGGUGUGCAGCACAGUAGUGGAGUCGUACUCCCGAGAGUAGAGGUGGACGAUGGCACGGUACUGCUCCUGGUUAAAGUCCUGGUACUCCUCGUAGACGGUGUACUCAGGGUGCCAGCGAUAACCCAGAUAGGUCAUCAUCUCAGCUAGCACCGCAGGUGAUCCCGAGGCACCAAUGGCCAUCGUGUGGCGAACAACCUGCCUCGUGGGUUCCAUCUGAAAGCAAAGACGUUUCAAAGGAGUCAAAUGACAGUGUGUGAAUUGUCCAAAAUACUAUUCUGAGAAACAUCUAUGGCUUAUCCAUCUUUGGGGUGAACGCGGUCACGGGAUCCUAGUGUUAGGGUUAGUAAAUUCGUUUAACCCGAGUAGAAGAGAGUUCAGAGUCCCAGAGUAAAGGUCGAGGAGUAAAAGAUCCUAGUACCACCCAAUGGCGACGUGGGCCCGUAAGACACACAGCCAUGUUAGUAAAAGUUUUUGUAAUGUCUAGACUCGACUUCGGCCAAGGAGUGUGGAAAGGGGGAUUCCUACAGGCAGUCGGCUCUGAUACCAACUUGUGACGCCCCCGGUUUGACCGUACACUAAUCAUGCACGCAAAUGUGUACGAUCAAGGUCAGGGACUCACGGGAAGAUAUCACAACACAACUCUACAACAUAAAUAAGUCAUACAAGCAUCAUAAUACAAGCCAGGGGCCUCGAGGGCUCGAAUACAAGUGCUCGAUCACAGAUGAGUUAACGGAAGAAACAAUAUCUGAGUACAGACAUAAGGUAAACAAGUUUGCCUUAAGAAGGCUAGCACAAACAGGGAUACAGAUCGAACGAGGCGUAGGCCUCCUGCCUGGGACCUCCUAACUACUCCUGGUCGUCGUCAGCGGCCUGCACGUAGUAGUAGGCACCUCCGGUGUCGUCGUCGACGGUGGCGUCUGGCUCCUGGACUCCAGCAUCUGGUUGCGACAACCAGAUAGGAAAGAAAGGGGGAAAAGAGGGAGAGAAGCAACCGUGAGUACUCAUCCAAAGUACUCGCAAGCAAGGAGCUACACUACAUAUGCAUGGGUAUAUGUGUAAAGGGGCAUAUCAGUGGACUGAACUGCAGAAUGCCAGAAUAAAAGGGGGAUAGCUAGUCCUGUCGAAGACUACGCUUCUGGUCAUCUCCAUCUUGCAGCAGGUAGAAGAGAGUAGAUUGAAGUCCUCCAACUAGCAUCGCAUAGUAUAAUCCUACCCAGCGAUCCCCUCCUCGUCGCCCUGUUAGAGAGCGAUCACCGGGUUGUAUCUGGCACUUGGAAGGGUGUAUUUUAUUCAGUAUCCAGUUCUAGUUGUCAUAAGGUCAAGGCACAACUCCGGGUCGUCCUUUUACCGAGGGACACGGCUAUUCGAAUAGAUAAACUUCCCUGCAGGGGUGCACCACAUAACCCAACACGCUCGAUCCCAUUUGGCCGGACACACUUUUCUGGGUCAUGCCCGGCCUCGUAAGAUCAACGCGUCGCAGCCCCACCUAAGCACAACAGAGAGGUCAGCACACCGGUCUAACCCUAUGCGCGCAGGGGUCUGGGCCCAUCGCCCUAUGCACACCUGCACGUUGCGUACGCGGCCGGAAGCAGACCUAGCCUAGUGGCGUUCCAGUCCAAUCCGGCGCGCGCCACUCAGUCGCUGACGUCAAGAAGGCUUCGGCUGAUACCACGACGCCGGGAUACCCAUAACUACUCCCGCGUAGAUGGCUAGUGCGUAUAGACCAAAUGGCCAGACUCAGAUCAAAUACCAAGAUCUCGUUAAGCGUGUUAAGUAUCCGCGAACGCCGACCAGGGCCAGGCCCACCUCUCACCUAGGCGGUCUCAACCUGCCCUGUCGCUCCGCCACAAAGAUCCACUUGCGGGUACUCCUACGAGCCGACCCGACUUUUAGUCAUCACAUGUGUCAUGUAUGUAGUAUAUAAGUAUAUACCCGUGAUCACCGCCCAGGUGAUCACGGCCCGAUAGUAUAGCACAGCAGACGGACAAGAAUGUAGGGCCACUGAUGGAAAUCUAGCAUCCUAUAGUAAGCAUGUAGGAUUGCAGGUAAAGGUAUCAACAGUAGUAGCAAGGAUAGGCUAUGCAUCAGGAUAGGAUAUCGAAAAGCAGUAACAUGCUACACUACUCUAAUGCAAGCAGUAUAGAGAAGAAUAGGCGAUAUCUGGUGAUCAAGGGGGGGGGGGCUUGCCUGGUUGCUCUGGCAAGUAGGAGGGGUCGUCGACUCCGUAGUCGAACUGGGCAGCAGCAGUGUCGGUCUCGUAGUCUACCGGAGAGAAGAGGGGGAAGAAACAGUAAAUACAAUGCAAACAUAAGCAUGACGAUGCGUGACAUGACAAUGAGCGGUGCUAGGUGUGCCCUAACGCGACAGUAGGUGGUACCGGCGAAAGGGGGGGAACAUCCGGGAGGUAUUCCCGAUGUUUCGCGUUUUCGGACAGACGGACCGGAGGAGGAAAGUUGCUAGUUCGAUAGGUUAGGGAGGUGUGGUGGACGAACGGACUGCGUAUUCAGAUUCGUCUCGUCGUUCUGAGCAACUUUCAUAUAGAAAACAUUUUCAUCUGAGUUAGGGUUUAAAAGAUAUGAAUUUUCAAAGUUUAUUUGAAUUUCUGGAAUUAUCUAUAUUAAGAAAAUGAAUUAUGACGUCAGCAUGAGGCAAUGCUGACGUCAGCAAGUCAACAGGUCGGCUGACCAGUCAAACCAGACAGGUGGGUCUAGUGGGACCCACAUGUCAGCCUCUGUUAUUCUAAUAUCUAUUUAAACUAAUCUAACAGUAUAAUUAGAGGGGGUGGGCCCCACAUGUCAGUGAGUGAUUAGUUAAAAUAAUUAUUUUUAUUUACAAAACAUUUUCUUUUUCUUUUAUUUUUGCGGCGGGGCCCGCAUGUCAGUGACUGGGCCCAGUCAGCUGGGGCCCGUGGGGGCCACUGGCAGGGACACUGGGGGGUGGGGCCAGGCCAGCCUCGUCGGCGGCCGGCGCCGGAGCUACGCCGGCGACCAAACGCACGGCGGCGCGGCUCGGGAGGGGUACGGGCUUCGCGUACAGGGGGUCUUCGGGGGCAUGGAUGGGCGCGUUCGACGCGGCUCGGCGUCGCGCGUCCAACGGCGGUGGUCGGAGGGGCUGGAACGGCCGGGGGCGAGUGCUUCGAGCUCGCCGGCGGCGAGGAGCUACGGGUGCCCGACAGAAACACAGCUACGGCGAGCUAUCGAGAAAGCGGAGGGGCUGGGGGGCAUCUACAAACGGCGGGGAGUGCAACGGGCUUAACCCCGUGACCAUUUGGUCACCGGAGACCCGCCGGCGGCGAGCUCCGCGGCGCGGCGUUCGGGCGCGCGUGGGGGAGCAGCUACGGAGCGCGGGCGAGCUAGCGGAGAGGGGGAGGAGGUAGAGGAGCUCACCGCGCGGCGCAAGAAAGGCCCGUGGGUGGCUUAGUAGCAGCAGCAGUCGCCGGAGUCGAAGGAGACGGCGGCGACCCGAGGAAAAAGGCGACGGCGUUGGGGGGCGAUGUAGGGGGUCCCGGCUCGAGCAGGUGGUCGGGGAGGACGGGCUCGACGCGGCGGAGCUCGGGGACACGUCGGGGAGGAGAACGGGGCUCGGUGGCCGCGUGAAUGACGGUGAANNNNNNNNNNGGGUGCCCGACGGAAACACAGCUACGGCGAGCUAUCGAGAAAACGGAGGGGCUGGGGGGCAUCUACAAACGGCGGGGAGUGCAACGGGCUUAACCCCGUGACCAUUUGGUCACCGGAGACCCGCCGGCGGCGAGCUUCGCGGCGCGGCGUUCGGGCGCGCGUGGGGGAGCAGCUACGGAGCGCGGGCGAGCUAGCGGAGAGGGGGAGGAGGUAGAGGAGCUCACCGCGCGGCGCAAGAAAGGCCCGUGGGUGGCUUAGUAGCAGCAGCAGUCGCCGGAGUCGAAGGAGACGGCGGCGACCCGAGGAAGAAGGCGACGGCGUUGGGGGCGAUGUAGGGGGUCCCGGCUCGAGCAGGUGGUCGGGGAGGACGGGCUCGACGCGGCGGAGCUCGGGGACACGUCGGGGAGGAGAACGGGGCUCGGUGGCCGCGUGAAUGACGGGAACGGCGGCGAGCGCGUCGNNNNNNNNNNNNNNNNNNNNNNNNNNNNNNNNNNNNNNNNNNNNNNNNNNNNNNNNNNNNNNNNNNNNNNNNNNNNNNNNNNNNNNNNNNNNNNNNNNNNNNNNNNNNNNNNNNNNNNNNNNNNNNNNNNNNNNNNNNNNNNNNNNNNNNNNNNNNNNNNNNNNNNNNNNNNNNNNNNNNNNNNNNNNNNNNNNNNNNNNNNNNNNNNNNNNNNNNNNNNNNNNNNNNNNNNNNNNNNNNNNNNNNNNNNNNNNNNNNNNNNNNNNNNNNNNNNNNNNNNNNNNNNNNNNNNNNNNNNNNNNNNNNNNNNNNNNNNNNNNNNNNNNNNNNNNNNNNNNNNNNNNNNNNNNNNNNNNNNNNNNNNNNNNNNNNNNNNNNNNNNNNNNNNNNNNNNNNNNNNNNNNNNNNNNNNNNNNNNNNNNNNNNNNNNNNNNNNNNNNNNNNNNNNNNNNNNNNNNNNNNNNNNNNNNNNNNNNNNNNNNNNNNNNNNNNNNNNNNNNNNNNNNNNNNNNNNNNNNNNNNNGGUUUUGGGCCGGGGGUCAGUGGGGGGGGGAGGCCUGCUCCUUUUGCUUUCCUUUUUUGUUCUGUUUUGUUUUCUGUUUUCCUUUUACUUGUUUAUUUCCUUUUCUGUUUUAUUUCAUUUAAAGUAUUUUGGCAUUUUAUAAAAAAGGAGUUUUCUCCACCAUAAUUGCAAGUGUAUUAUUUAGCACCCACAGAACAUUUUUGUUUGAGUUUUUGAAAACUUUUAUUUUUCACUUUAAUUAUAUUUGAAGUUUGAACUAGGAGUUAGAAAAGGAAGGUGAUUCAAAUGUGAUCAAGCCCUGUUUAGCAACAUGAUUAGCUUAAUCACAGGGAGUUACUGUAGCAUGAUUCCCAGGGUGUUACAGCGGCGAAGUCGUCCCUAGCGGGGUCAGGCGCGAAGACGAUCUUGGAGAGCAAGCGGGUGUCGUAGAUGAGCGGUUGUAGGAGGAUCUCGGUGGCGGUGACUGGGUGGAAGAGGGUGAGCAGGCUUUGGCCGUCGUAGAGGCAGACCGAGAGGGCAAGCCACCAGCCUCCGCAACCGAGGCAGCUCCUAAUCGGGUAGGUGGCCGUGAACUCGAAGGAGCCGCGCAUGGGGGGGGGAGGCGUUGGGGCAGGACGAGCCUGAGGGGAUUGCCUUGAGCCCGAAGGAGCGGUGCGCGGGGAGCGAGACGAUGGCGGCGUGCCGACGCCUGGUGGCGUCGUCGCGGAGGAGGACGAGCAGCGACGGCGCCGGUGGCGCGAGCGCGCGACGCCACGUGGUGCAGGUGCCUCGCACGCUGGUAUAGAACCUGAGGUCAUCGAGGCCAUCGGCGACGUGGCGGAGGAGCUCCGGCGGCAGAUCUGUCCAGCCCUGGAACGGCGGCAUGGCUGGCGGCGGAGGGGGAUUCCUGCCUCUUUUUCUAUGAGGAAUGGAGGGAUUGUGUGUGGGCCUAGGGUUUCAUGGUGGGCUUGGCCUGACUUCCUUCUUUAUAGCAAAUCGAUACUUCUCCAAAAUCAAGGCAGGCAUUAAUUUAAUCAAAUCAAAUCGAAUCUUUCACCACCGAAUCAAAACUUUCCCCUCCGAAUACGGGAAUCAAAUCAAAUCUUAACAUAUUCGGUCCUUUUUAAAAAUCUUACCAAAACCAAGAUUAAAUUAAAACUUUCCUUGCAUUGCGUCCGUCGUUGCAUACUUGCAUAGAGAGUAGAAAGAGACUGCCCGCCGGCCGCCCCCUCCAUCCUUCCUUGCUUCUAUCUUCCAUUCCGCCGGCUGCCGCCUCCGCCUCCGCCUCUGCGUGAUUUGAUUUGACUAGACGAGAAGAGAAGAGAAGAGAAGAGAAGAAAAGAUGCUGCCUUGGAUCUUCAGCCGCAAGGGCGCGUCGGGCUUCUCCUGGGCAUCCACCGCCGACCAGGUCACCGCCGGCAUCUCCGCAGCCGGCCUCACCGCAAUAGUCACAGGUGCGUCGAGCGGGAUCGGCGCGGAGACGGCGCGGGUGCUGGCGGCGCGCGGGGCCCACGUCGUCAUGGCCGUCAGGAACCUCGCCGCCGCAGAGGCCGUGCGCCAGGCCGUCCUUGCCGAGACCCCCGGCGGCAGCGUGGAGGUGAUGGAGCUGGACCUCUCCUCCCUGGCCUCCGUCCGCAACUUCGCCGCCGACUUCGCCGCCACCGGCCUCCCCCUCAACAUCCUCGUGUAAGGCUACUCCCAAUCAUGCGAAAAGCACUUGAUAACUUGAUAGUUGAGGUUCAGUCAGGGGUUGUCAAGAUGAGUUUCAGGUUCAGGUUCAGGCCCCAUCGCGAUUUCUUGGGACCAUUCAUUCAGGUUCAGGUUUAGGUUCAGUUAGGGGUUGUCGGCCAUUAAAUUCUCAACAUGGCUGUAUCACUUUGGCUGCAACUUGAUACUUUCAGCGGGUUUCACUCAACAUCGAGCCGAUUUAAUUUCUAGGUUUCUUUUGUACUACCUUCAAUCAUACAGACGAGCUUGGUCAUACUAUCAGUUAGAAGUUGUCCUGGUGGAUUUAAUGUGAUUUCACCUAUUCAACUACAAACUACUGCAACAAUGGUGUGACUUUUCAGUUUGGGUGAAAGAAACUCGCUGCUUGUAUAUGCAGAUAGCUUCAGGACAUUUCCAUGGCAUCGUACAUUCGUACUGAUUUAACUCAGGUUCCAGGACAGCUGCUAGUUUGAACCAUGCGUGUUUUAGGAACGGUCAGUUUCAUUUCAUGGAUGGGUAAUUUGAUCUGUAAGGGCUAGCUCUGUAGGAAUUGUGGCGGUCCUAUAACAUGAAAUGGAACUAACAGGAGGGGUCCCGACAUGAGUUAGUCAUGCUGGCGACUUACUUGCACAGCUAUGCCACUUCCUGCACCGCAACGCUUAAUCCUGGAUAAGCACAGGACUCAUUGUAUUUAAGUCUAGUACUUUUCAGGUUCAGGUAUGCACUUGGCCCCAUCGCGAUUUGUGAGGACCAUUCAGGUUCAGGCUCAGUUAGGGACUGUCGGCCAUUAAAUUCUCAACAUCUGCAUCAUGAGUAGCACAACAGCGAGAUGGCUUAUCAGUUUGGCUGCAACUUAUAGUUUCAGCAGAUGUCUGCAACAUUGGGUGGAUUUAAUUUCUGGGUUUUGUUUGUACCUCAACUUGGACUAUACCUUGUUGGUUGGAGUAAAUGCUGCCUGCAACUAGUAGAUCAGUGUAGGGUGGAAGAAAGAUAUUGUGGUGAUGCCUUCAGUCCUGAAUUCAGGAACAAUCUUCCAGAUUUCCAAAUUUUAAGGAGGCUAUAGGCAUGGGAAAUUUCAUUUCAUGCCAGGGUAAUCGGUUUGUAGCACUUCACUCUAGACUAGAGUUGGUAUAACAGUGCUAGUGUCCUGGAUACAAGAUCAUAGUAUUAGUGAAGUAUCUGCUUAUGAUGCUUCUUGCACCACAACACUUGAUCCUGAAUACAAGAGUAUGCUACUGGUUGUACCUUUCUUCAAUAAUUAUCUGACCUGCCGUAUUUUUUUUCAGUAACUCAUCUCAUGUUUUGGGACCUAGUAUCUUUCAUGCUUGCUGGCUUGCACGUUUGCUGAGGCGUACCAUAAUAGCUCAUCGUGUUCCCUGAUUACAUGAUGCUUUCUCUGGCUGGCAGCAACAACGCAGGGGUAAUGGCGACCCCUUUCUCCCUCUCAAAGGAUGGCAUCGAGAUGCAGUUUGCAACUAACCAUGUCGGUAUGCAUGAUUACCAACAAACUCCCACCUGCUUGAUGAACCGAUUUUAUGUACCCUCAUACAGAACGUUUAUUCUGAACAGUAUAGUGUUCUCAAUAUUUUUACAGUUUGGAAUCUGAAUGUUGUCUGCCUUAAUAUAAGCUUAAAUGGCCCCUUAAUGUCUCAACACUGGUGUGCUCCUGCUUCCAAUGAUCACCAAACAAAUUAUUAUUUUCUGCCAAUCCUAGAACAGUACAAAACCUGCAAAUUAUCUCAGCAGACAGUUGCAAGCUUGCAAUUUCUGCUUCACCUAACCCUCCUAGUUCAUUUAUACGUCACUUAACUCUUCAUGUCAUAAUAUCCAGGGCAUUUUCUUCUGACAAAUCUUCUGUUGGAGACCAUGAAGAAGACCUCCCGUGAAUCAAACGUGGAAGGAAGAAUUGUUAACGUUUCAUCAGAGGGGCACAGGUUUGCAUACAAGGAAGGCAUCCGCUUCGCCAAGCUAAAUGACGAGGAAGAGUAUGUAAUUUCCGUGCGGUCAUCGCGUUUCCCCGUACGGUUUACUUUUUUUGAAGACAAAUCAGUCACUUGUUGUUUCAAUCUUGCGUUGUUCAGGUAUAGCACCAUUGCAGCAUAUGGGCAGUCAAAGCUUGCCAACAUUUUACAUGCUAAUGAACUUGCCAGGAGAUUUAAGGUUUGUCUCGUCCCGUUCUGAUUUUUGUGGUUGUGGCAUUGUGCCAUGUCUUGGGUUCAUGUUAUUUUGAAUUUUCCGGUUCUAUGUUGAUGUUUGUUCCAACAUGAGUACUUGUGCUAGCAAGCACUGUCAGUUGCAUUUUUUCUAAGAGUCUGCAGUUGGACUCUAAAAUCACACCACUUUCUGAAAUAAAGGAAAGUUUAGUGGUUGUUACACACGAUCUUCAUGAGACAACUUCAUUUGUUACAGUGAACAAUCGGCAUCCAAAUCCAUUGUCUGAAAGCAGAACUGUUUGAUCUUAAUAACUGGUUUUGUCUGUUUUCAGUUCUUUAUCAAUAUGAUAUAUAGCUUUAUUUCAGCCCAAGUAUCUUAAAUCAUGAUUCAAUUUUUUGUCGAACAGGAAGAGGGUGUUAACAUCACUGCAAAUUCUCUCCAUCCUGGAGCUAUCAUCACGAACCUUCUUCGCCACCACAGCAUCAUAGAUGGUAAACAUACUUACUUGGCAGCAGAUAUCACGUGGCGCUCCUCCUUUCGUCAUACAAGAAAUUGUCUCGAUUCAAGUUUCUUCUUGCUUUGAAUAAUUCAUGGCAUUUGCGGCAACCCAAAAAGAAAACACAGUAAAAGUUAACAGUGAGACAGAAAUGGCCCGUGGCAGACAGCAGUUUGAAACACAUCUGUUAAACUAAUAAAAUGAUACAUCUGCUUUUGUUGGUUAAAAUCAGACAUCCAUGGUCAAGGGCUUCUUUUGAAAUUUUAGCUUGACUGAUAUCAUCAUAAUGUUUUUUGUCGUAUGCAGUUCUCCACCGAACGCUUGGUAGACUGGUGCUGAAGAACGCCAAACAGGUACGCUCUGGCACUAUGUAUGUUCAGUCUUCUUCACAGGGUGGUGUGUCCAUCAUGUUACAGUAUUACAUAGUUUAAUUUCCAUCGUGUUGGAAUGACAGGGAGCUGCAACGCAGUGCUACGUGGCGCUGCACCCGGACGCGAAGGGGGUGUCGGGGAAAUACUGGAGCGACAGCAACCUGUACGAGCCGAGCGAGAAGGCCAAGGACGCGGAGCUGGGAAAGAAGCUCUGGGACUACACUCUCGACCUCGUCGCCUGAUGAUCGGUAGGCGCAGACGAGAUGAGACCAAGGAUGUGAGGAACGCAAUGUAAGCUUACAUAAUGUACAACAACCACCUAGACUACUCGUAGAUAAAAUGCUGGAUACUGGAAUUAGUCCAGACAGAAUUAUUAUUUUUACUCCUAAACAAAUUUGUGGGAUGCUGUAAUCGUCAUAUUAAGAUACAAAAACAUUAACUUCAGAGUACAGCAUGUGCCCUGAUAAGUCCAUGCAAGGUGCUUGCAAGGUCUGGUUCAGUUGACAUCCUCUGUUUUUACCUUCAACUGUCAGAAUGUUACUCCUCUGAUUAAUAAUUACCACACUAAAGCUGCCAUACUUGCCUCGGAAGAUCCAUUGAAGAAGCAUGUGCACCAUCACAUGCGCUACUGUAUUAUUUUCAGUAGCACCAUGCACUUGAGUUUUUGACACUCCAAUGGCAAACAUUAAGUAUGCUUACCAAAACUAAUCCUUCCAGGGUCUACAUAAUAUGACAGAAAACAUCUUGCUUUUUAGUUAGCUCACAGUGACUGUAGAUGUUUGUUGAUCCAAAAACGAUGUCAUGUAAAACCUAAUAACAUAAGCAUAUGAAGUGUAAAACGUGACUUGGAUGAUGGCAUUGUAUGUCAUGUAGUCAUUUGCUGCAUUCCUUGACUCAAUGUUAUGUGGAAGAACUCAUUUCUGCUUUUCGCAAUUUCUGAAUUUGUUUUCUAGCGUGCAUACUUAUAGUCUAUGACCUUUACCUUCUGAACUUCUAUUUUGCACAACAUACGAGAUAGUGAAAUGAUAUGGGCGCAACGUAAUGUAAGAAUGUAUUGUAAUUGUCCUAAAACUAGUGAUUGGCGUCCACAUAUCGGGCAAAGGUAAAAUGCACAUGACAACACCUAUGAAAAAAAGAACAAGAAAGACUUCCUACAAAGUGGGCAAAAAUAUAUUAUAAUCUGAGUAACGAACUUGUAGUUUAGCCAUGCCCAAAAGAACUAUUUAUGGGGAUGAAAUCAAAAGCAAAUACACUAUUUUUUUUAUUCUGUUUGUAUAUAUCCAUUGUGUCGCAUUUUCUUCACUAUGUCCCUCGGUACAAUUUCUUUGGAGUUGCUUGAGGGAAGUGGUGGGAAGCAAGUGGUGCCAUACUAACUUCCUAGAAGAGAUCCGGGAAGUAAAAUCCCAUUUACUCCCUAUAUAAGAUGUUUCUGUGUCAAAAAACAUCUUUAUAUAGGGAGACAACAGAGGAAGUACAUUAUUUCAAGGCAAACAAGAGUCACUUAACGCGCCAAUGUUGCAUUGUGCGGAUGACAUCACUGUUAUGACCUUAUACACGAAAAUUAGCACGAUUUGACCCAUUUAAAAAGUAUUUUCGAAUUUAACCUUUUUGGUCACGACAACAUCCAUGUCAAUGGCGUUUGACCCUGACCCACACUUAUCCAGUUGACGCUUAUGUGGCAAAGCGAAACGACAUGAAACACGACGCUUGGGUAAAAGCCAUGAAGUUGGGCGUUUAGUCUUUUCUACUAUUCAAGAUGGAAUAGCGACUACUCCUUUACUUCUUGAUUGUUGUGUGCCUAGCCAUGACCAAUAUAAUAUUAUUUGCUAAUCUCUUUCACGAUCUGAAGUAUCGCGAGAUGCAACGAUCGAGCCUUCCGACUAUCCACAAACCACCAAACUGAAUGAGGAGGUGGGCACUAUGGUCGAGUGGCGCUGAAUACUUGCGCCAUUGACUACUGUUGAAGCUUUGACUAGUGCCGAGCAUUGGCUACAAAUGCAAUCUUUCCAUUAAUUCUAUCAUUCUUAGUGUAAAACUAGUUGAACCCUAAGGCUCUAGGUAGGGGUGCAUGCAUGUUAUAUAUGCAUAUCUCAUUGUAUCGGACGCAUUAGAUUGUAAAAAACAAUUUUCUAUCUCUCUUAAGACACCCCUCUAUUUUUUGGUCAUUUAUAUUGAACUCUUUUGCUUAUUUUGAUAAGUUAUUAACACAAAAUCUUCACUAUUACAAUUCAUAGUAUAUUUAUAGCACAAUUAACACAUGAUGAUGCUGCUAAACUUAAAACAUAACGGUCUAGGUUACAAUUACCAAAUCUAUUAAAAAUGCACAUUCUACUAAAUUAAAAUUAUAUUUUUGCAGCAAAUAUUAUGUUUUCGUGUCAUAAAUUAUGUUUAAAAGGAAGAGAAUGUUGGUUGAAUUGAAUGUUUCUUCGAUGUAAGACAAUACUAGUGACGCAAUUGUAUUGUAUAUUAUUAAUAUGCACCAUUAUAAAUGUCAUAUGUAUUUGUAUGCAUUUAUUUUUUAUCAUCUGUAAGUAUAUUGAUAUAGAGCCCUAGAGUGUAUGUGUCUAACAAAAAUCUUGAUAUAUGUGGCUGCGUGGUGUAUGAUUUUUUUAUUGACAAGGUCUCAUGAAAUAUCUACUAUUCUCCUCGGAUAAUUGGCAUUGCUCUUUUAGUGGAUUUUCAUGGAAAAAUAUGCCUUUCCUGUUUGAUUAUAUGGUUCACUAGUUGGCAUGUUUGGAACAAAGGAAAUUUUCCAGGAGGUUGGAUUCAAUGCAAAUUCAUGAGGUUGGAUUCAAUUGAAUAUGCUCUACGUUAUAUGCGAUGAAAAGCAAGAAUGUUUUACUCUCUAGUUAAGAAAAGGAAUGAUGUACGAAGUCUUAUGUCAAAGGUCAAAUUAGAAAUGGUGUUAUGAAGAACAAGUAAGAUUAUAGCAAACUCUCCUAGCUAACUAGCUACAGGAUUGUUGAAACUAGAUUUGACUUAUAAAGAGCAUGACUUCACUACAGAUAAGACAUCAUCAAAGCAUGGAAACUGAACCAAAAUACAACGUGAUAUAUACAAUGUGUUGUUGUUGAUGUUACUUCUUCUAUUCUUCUCAAGACAUCAAAAUAUGAUCAUCUCAGACACAAAUACACAAGUCUUCUAUUCUUCUCAAAAUUCUCUGGAUAUUUUCUCCUCUCUUUGGCUCUUAAUGAAGCUUAGACUAUUUCUGCACCAUUGGAUGCAAAUGCGGUAUGUCUUUUUCCACCUUGCUCGACUGGUAGGCUUGGCCACAAUCCCUUGCCCACGCAUGAAAAGCAUCACUUCCACCAUUGUGGCUAGUGGUGCCCACUAUAUUGCAAAGUUGUCCCGAGGAAGGAUCAUUAUUCCAUGCCUUGUGCACGUUCAACCCUGACCCCUUGCUUGGAUCCAAUAAACUCUUCUUUCAUUUGUAUUGUAGGUAUUUACUAUGUUGCUAAGACAGUACCAACAAAAUAUUGUUUAUUGAGGCCUUUGAACGACACCAGACACGGGAAGGUAAGCGGUAGACCUCCCGGUCCCCUUGACAAACACCAGAAUUGAUCCCUACUCUUCCGCACCUAUCCAGUAGACACAGUUACCCUUGAGUCCCGGAACACCUUCGGCUUUCAUCGGCACUGUAUUGUUUCCUCCCAAUAAACACCGAGUACCCCCCCCCCCCCACAAAUUUGGCCAUGACGUGCCAGCAUGGACGGUGCCGAGGAUCGUAGCUCAGAGAAAAUAAUUCAUCAUUUGUUGCAUGGCGGUGACCGCCUCCUGGCAGCUGCAAAGUAACCCUGCAACUGGCAUUCCUCCAAAUCUGAUAGAGGUUUCCAUUACACAAGACCAGCUUCUCGACACUCAUGAAAUGCUAGACCGUGUCGUAUGGUCGAACUGAAGGUUGCCUAUAGAUGACAGGAAUGGCUCGACCUUGACCGACACAUUUAGGUCCGAUACGGCCCGUGCAUUUGAACGACGAAGUGCAUGUUAUACAAUGUAGGGUGUGUUGAUGUUAGGUCCUCUAUGAUGAUAGGUUCUGGGCGCCAACAGUGGUGCUCGACCAGGCGGAGCAUGUGGACAUCUUUGAAACAAGUGAGGCAGUAGACUGUAGCAUUUCCAUGCGGUGAGGUAUGUGAGCCUAUGGGUGUUGCAGAUGGCCCGCCUUCAUAUGGGCUGUGUGGGCGGCGGCGAGGUGGGCGUGUGGUAGCCGUCGUCGACAGGGAUAGUGAGGAGUAGCGGUGGCUGCGUGGCCAUGGCUGCGGGCUUGUCGACAGGGAUAGUGAGGAGUAGGGGUGGUAACGCCGCCAUGGCUUUGCUAGCUUUGUGGAGUGCUACCUACAAUUAGUGCAAGCUAGUCACGUACUCCCUCCGUAAACUAAUAUAAGAGCGUUUAGAUCAUUAUUUUAGUAAUCUAAACGCUCUUAUAUUAAUUUACAGAGGGAGUACUUUGAGGAGUAGCGAUGGUAAUGCCGUCAUUUAAGCUGCGUGUACGUGCACGCAGGCUGGUGUCGGUGCACGUACGAAUGCAUGCCAAAGAAGCGUUUCAUUGGAUACCAUACCCAUGCAUGCAUGUAGCUAGCCGUUUGAGAGCUGAUCGAUAUGCAUGAUUGACCUUGGAUGCUUCGACGUGCGCUUUGUGUACGUUGCAAAUAUAUUGUUUGGAGUGUUGUGCGCGUGCAUGGCAUGACUGAGUCAUGGGGACGUACCGAUGGAAGCAUCUAUCCGACGGACGUAGGUAUACGUCCAAAGAUGGUUGAUCGGUCGUCCAACCAUGCAUGCACGUGACCCAUUUCAGAUUCUACCGGUCGGUUCCCGUAGCCAUAGGAUUCCGGCCGGCCGACAAUUCCGGAGGCAAGCACUCACGCAGAUAUCCCUAGCAAGAAAAAAAGACACGAUAGGGGAUCUACACAUAUGGAUGCAAUUUUUUUAUUUCUGUUUUUUGAUACUAUCAUGACAUGAUGAAUAGAGCGGAAGUUUUUUUUUCGAAAGAGAAAAGGGACGGAGCCAGGAAGUUCAUAAGAGGGGGCCAAUCGAACAUAUAGAGCACUCAAGGGCUUAGAGAUACAAAUUUUAAGCUGAAUUAGUAUAUAGCUAGUUCUUGGUAUUGUCAUGUCAUGAUGAAUAGACCGGAAGUUUUCUCGCAAAAAAAGCGACGAAGCAGGAAGUUCAUAAAAGAGGCCAGUCGAACAUGUAGAGCAUUGAAGGGGGUAGACAUACAAAUUUAGAGAUUAACUCCAGUUACGAAGUGACGUUUGAUACACACAAAGCAUUCCUCCGGAGUCCGGGAGUUGCAUGAUUACAUGGUCUAACAAGCAUGUAUUUGACAUUAAGAAAGCAGUAGCAAUAAAUUGAACGAUCAUAUGCUAUGCUAACGAAUGGGUCUUGUCCAUCACAUCAUUCUCCUAAUGGCGUGAUCCCGUUGUCAAAUGACAACUCAUGUCGAUAGUUAGGAAACCUUAACCAUCUUUUGAUUAACGAGCUAGUCAAGUAGUGGCUUACUAGGGACUUGGUAUUUGUUUAUGUAUUCACACAUUUAUUUAAGGAAAUAUAAUAUAAUAAUAAUCACUGUAUUAUUGCCUCUAAGGCAUAUUUCCAACAGUCUCCCACUUGCACUAGAGUCAAUAAUCUAGAUUACAUAGUAAUGAAUCUAACACCCAGAUUGGGCGCCGUUGCUCCGCUUAUCAGAUCGGACACUGCUCUGCAGAAUACGCCCACGAUCAGGAGGAAUGCGCGACAGCGUGGCUCCCCGGCCUCACCCGCAGCAGCUUCCCCGACCUCCAUCGGCUCGACACGGCCGGCGCACGGAGCGCGGACGCGGCGCCCGCGACUUCUAAUUACUGGCGGCUGUCGAUCACCUCCACCGGCGACGAAGCUCCAGCGGGGCAUGUAGUCAGAGGGAAGAGAGAGAGAGAGGGGCGGAGUUCGUGGGCGAGCGAGGGAGCAGCGCAGAGUUCGUGGUCCGCUCAAUUUGGAGGAACCACUCUAUUCGGCAUAUAGGUGGAAUAUUCCUCUCCAAAGAACCAGUGCAUUCCACUCUGUUUUUCAACUAAACAUGAGAACCACUCUCAGGUGCGGGUCCAAACCGUUACAUUCCACUUCAUUCCUUCAACCAAACACACCCUAGGAAGACACCCCUCCAUUCUUUGGUUAUUUAUAUUGAACUUUUUUGCUUAUUUUGAUUAACUUAUUAACACACACUAUUACAAUUUGUAGUAUAUUUAUAGCACAAUUAACACAUGAUGGUGCUGCUAAACCUUAAAACAUAACAAUCUAGGUUACAAUUACCAAAUCUAUUUAUUCUGCCCUACGAGGUGGCUGUGGUCAGAAAUCUUCGUACAAUUAAAACUAUACAUUCUGCUAAAUUAAAAUUAUAUUUUUGCAUCAAGCAUUAUGUUUUAAUUUCAUAAAUUAUGUUUAGAAGGAAGAAAAUGUUGGUUGAAUUGAAUGUUUCUCGAUGUAAGACAAUACUAGUGACACAAUUGUAUUGUAUAUUAUUAAUAUGCACCAUUAUAAAUGUCAUAUGUAUUUGUAUGCAUUUAUUUUUUUGUCAUCUUUAAAUAUAUUGAUAUAGAGCUCUAGAGUGUAUGUGUCUAACAAAAAUCUUGAUAUAUGUGGCUGUGUGGUGUAUGCUUUUUUUUAUUGACAAUAAAUAGAUAGAAAGUAUAGAUCUCAUGAAAUAUCUACUAUUCUCCUCGGAUAACUGACAUUGCUCUUUUAGUGGAUUUUCAUGGAAAAUAUGCCUUACUGUUUGAUUAUAUGGUUCACUAGUUGGCAUGUUUGGAACAAAGGAAAUUUUCCAGGAGGUCUGAUUCAAUGCAAAUUCAUGAGGUUGGAUUAAAUUGAAUAUGAUCUACGUUAUAUGCGUUGAAAAGCAAGAAUGUUUGGCUCUCUAGUUAAGAAAAGGAAUGGUGUACAAAGUCUUAUGUCAAAGGUCAAAUUAGUAAUGGUGUUAUGAAGAACAAGUAAGGUUAUAGCAAACUCUCCUAGCAAACUAGCUAUAGGAUUGUUGAAACUAGAUGUAACUAAUAAAGAGCAUAACUUCACUACAGAUAAGACAUCAUCGAAGCAUGGAAACUCAACCAAAAUACAACAUGAUAUAUACAAUGUAUUCUUGUUGAUGCUACUUUGAAAAUCUGCUUCUGAGCAGGCUCAUCUGCACCUACGUUGACGAAACAAAUCAAAGUAAAUACUAGAAAAUUCAAAAAAUUCCAACUUUUUUUGCAAGGUCGAUAAUUUGAUGCGCAAGGUACGCUUCAAUUUUCAAAUCAUUCGGACCUCUAAGCAGCUCUCGGCAAAAAUAAAUAAAUUCGGGGCCUGUAAAAAAGUUUAUUGUUCAUGCACUGUUCUGACCCGAGUUGUAUUUUUGCUGAUGGCUUCAGAUGUCCAAAUGAUUUGAAAAUUGGAACGGACCUCACACACUAACUUUUCUACCAUGCAAAAAUAUUGGAUUUUUCUUUGAUUUUUUUCUGACCGGGUGCAGAUGAGUCUGGGUACCGAAACGCUGCUACUUCUUCUAUUCUUCUCAAGACAUCAAAAUAUGCACCAAUCAUCUCAUACACAAAUACACAAGUCUUCUAUUCUUCUCAAAAUUCUCUGCAUAUUUUCUCCUCUCGUUGGCUCUUAAUGAAGCUCGGACUAUUUCUGCACCAUCGGAUGCAAAUGCGAUAUGUCUUUGUCCACCUUGCUCGACUUAUUGGUAGGAUUGGCCACACUAAGAAACUACAUUCUGCCAGACUCCUUGCCCACGCAUGAAAAACAUCACUUCCACCAUUGUGGCUAGUGGUGCUCACUAUGUCGCAAAGUUGUCCCGACGAGUGACGAAGGAUCAUUGUUCCAUGCGUUGUGCACGUUCAACCCGGAUCCCUUGCUUGGAUGCAAUAAACUCUUCUUUUAUUUGUAUUGCAGGUAUAACUAUGUGCUAAGACAGUACCAACAAAAUAUUCUUUAUUGAGGCCUUGGAACGACACCAGACAUGGGAAGGCAAGGGGUAGACCUCCCGGUCCCCUUGACAAAACCACAAUUGAUCCCUACUCUCCCACGACUAUCCAGUAGACACAGUUACCCUUGAGUCCCGGAACACCUUUGGCGUCCAUCGGCACCGUAUUGUUUCCUCCCAAUAAACACCAAGUUUGCCCCCCUCCCCCCCUCCCCCCAAUUUGGCCAUGACGUGCCAGCAUGGACGGUGCCGAGGAUCGUAGCUCAGAGAAAAUAAUUCAUCAUUUGUUGCAUGGCGGUGACCGCCUCCUGGCAGCUGCAAAGUAACAGUGCAACUGCCAUUCCUCCAAAUUUGGUAGAGGUUUCCAUUACACAACAUCAGGUUGUCGACACUCGUGAAACUCCAGACCGUGUCCGGCAUAUUUAGGUCUGGUACGGUCCCGUGCAUUUGAACGGCGAAGUGCAUGUUAUACAAUGUGUUGAUGUUCGAUCAUCUAUGAUGAUAGGUUCUGGGUGGCAACAGCAGUGUCCGGCCAAGAGAAGCAUGUGGACAUCUUUGAAACAAGUGAGCGAGUAGAUGGUACCAUUUCCAUGCCAGAGGAGGUCGGCGAGUUGGUCUCUAGGUCACCUCCUGUCCCCAUGCGGUGCGGUAGGUGAGCCUAUGGGUGUUGCAGAUGGCCCAACUUCAUAUGCGUGAAAUGAGGAAUAAAAGGUGUGCCUUUUCUAUUUCCACUCACCUGAAAAGGGUUUUGUUUCAGUCAAUCUUUUUUCUCUCGGAGCAACUAGUUAGAUAGUGCCCCGGGAUGGUUUUCCAGGCAUGAGGGGAGGCGCGUUGAUGCUCUGAGCGAAGUGGCGAUAGCCAGGGAAGAAGGAACCUAUGGUGGUUUUCUUUUCUAGUUUUCUGGAACAGUGAGAGUACUGCUUAGCUUGCAAAAACGUCUUAUGUUGUUGGACGAAGGGAGUAGUUUCUUAAUUAGGUAUAGAUUACCAAAACAAACUACAUCAAAUAGAGAAUGUGCUUGGCAAAACCAAAUAAAAAUCAAUGUGGAUAUAUAUGUAGUUAUAUCUCUACCUAAUAAUAANNNNNNNNNNNNNNNNNNNNNNNNNNNNNNNNNNNNNNNNNNNNNNNNNNNNNNNNNNNNNNNNNNNNNNNNNNNNNNNNNNNNNNNNNNNNNNNNNNNNNNNNNNNNNNNNNNNNNNNNNNNNNNNNNNNNNNNNNNNNNNNNNNNNNNNNNNNNNNNNNNNNNNNNNNNNNNNNNNNNNNNNNNNNNNNNNNNNNNNNNNNNNNNNNNNNNNNNNNNNNNNNNNNNNNNNNNNNNNNNNNNNNNNNNNNNNNNNNNNNNNNNNNNNNNNNNNNNNNNNNNNNNNNNNNNNNNNNNNNNNNNNNNNNNNNNNNNNNNNNNNNNNNNNNNNNNNNNNNNNNNNNNNNNNNNNNNNNNNNNNNNNNNNNNNNNNNNNNNNNAGAGCAGAAGAAAAAACGUUUCACAUAUUGCAGAAAACCCCCUAAGAUUUUUGGUAAUCAACGUACGGUCCUAUUUUAAGCGAGAAUAGAAAAUGCUUUGCUUUUUGUACAAAAACCCCUGAGGUUUCGGUUAAUAAACCCGCCGUCUGUCUAGAAGAUAACUUUUUUUCAUUUUCAAAUGUUGUAAAAAAAUAUUCAUAUCAUUUAAACAGUAACUUCAAUUUUAAACAUGUUAUAUAUAAAAACUGAUUAGAAAAAUAUGUAGAAUCUGAAUAUGAUGUUAUUUUUACCUGUUAAUAAUUUUUAGACGCUGUUUAGGGAAAAAUUCAAAUACUUUUAGAUAAUAUUCAUAUCUUUUAACCCCUAACUUCAAUUUUAACAUGUUAUAUAUAAAAAAAUUAGAAAAAUGUGUAGAAUAUGAAUAUGAAUAUGAUUUUAACAUCCAGAUUGAAAAUAAACACCUCAGCAAAACCAAAUUAGAGACGAAAGAAAUCAUCUAUAACCACGCAUGUCCAUCGACAAGGGUGGGAAGAAGGGUAAACGAUAACACUGAUAAGAUGCCAUGUUGAUAUAAAGGACGUUGAUCUAUUGGGGUCUUGAGUCAUGGUUACUGUGUUAGAGGCGUGUUGUAUUUUUUUUUCUCCCGUUGCAACUUCAACGCACAGGCUCUUUUGCUAGUAUAUACUCAUACAAAUUAACACAUUUCAGGCCAAGAAAAAGCACUAGCUGACCUGAGUUCCUGUGACGGGACGGUACUCAAGUUCUCUAGAGAGAUGGAUCGAGCUGGGGAGGAAAUAUAUUCGCUAAAAUAAUACAGUAUACUAUAGUUUGUACAGUUGAUUUAUCGCUUCCUCUUCUUCUUGCAGCUGCCGUCGCUGGUGGUUGACGUUUCGCUUUCAGCACUGCAAGAAGAGGAAGGAGGAGGAGGAGCAGCAGCAGGAGCUACUGCUGCUGUUGGUCCCGUCCUCUCCAUGAACACUGCGUCCAGCUCCUCCGUGGAGACGGAGAUGGCUUCCGGCGGCAUCUCAAGCAGCUGUCUCCUCCUCCUCUUGCGCGGCUUCAUCUUCCUCGGCGCCGGCGGGCAGAUCAUCUUGGCUUGAGACGGCGGCGAGGUGGGCGUGUGGUAGCCGUCGUCGGUCUUGUGCUGCGUGGGCGUGGCCGCGGGAUUCUCGAGAAGGGUGGCGAGGAGUGGCAGUGGUAAGGCCGCCAUGGCUUUGAUAGCUAGCUAGCUCUGUGGAGUCCUACCUACUGUUAGUCCAGCUGAAUUUAAGCUGCGUGUACAUGCACGCACGCUCGCUCGCAGGUGUCGGUGCACGUACGAAUGCAUGGGAAAGAAACGUUUCAUUGGAUACCCAUGUAGGCAGGCAUGCAUGCAUGCAGCUAGCCGUUUGCUGAGAGAGAGCUACCUGACCAUGCAUGCAUGCGUUCAUGAUUGACCUUGGAUGCUUCGACCUACGCUUUGUGUACGUUUGCAUGUUGAUUGGAGUGUUGUGCGCGUGCAUGCAUGACCGAGUCAUUGGGACGGACGGAAGCAUCGAACCGGACGGACCUACGUAUACGUCCAACGGUAGUCGAUCGGUCGAACCAUGCACGUGACCCAUUUCGAUUCUACCGGUCGGUUCCCGUAGCCAUAGGAUUCCGGCCGGCCGACAACUCCGGAGGCAAAGCUCCCACGCAGAUAUCCCUUGCAAUAAAAAAAAGCAGUAGGUGACCUACGGAUAUGCAUGUUAUUUUUUAUUUUUUUGUACUGUCAUGACUUGAUAACCGGAACUUUUUUGGCAGAAAAAAGGGACGGAGCCAGGAAGUUCAUAAGAGGGGGCCAAUCGGACAUGUAGAGCACUGAAGGGGUUAUACAUACAAAUUUAAGCUGAAUUAGUAUAUAGCUAGUUCUUGGUAUUGUCAUGCCAUGAUGAAUAGACCGGAAGUUUCUCGCAAAAAAGCGAUGAAGCAGGAAGUUGAUAAAAGAGGCCAAUUGAACAUGUAGAGCAUUGAAGGGGUUAGACAUACAAAUUUAGAGAUUAACUCCACAAGUUCUUUUUAGGGGAAACUCCACAAGUUAACAAAUUAGUAUAUAGGGAUGAUUUGAAAUUAAAUUUUUUCCAGGAUGGGGGCCAUGGCCCUAGCUCACUCCCUGCUGGCUUUAGGCCCUGUUUGUUUGGGCUGCGGCUGGGGCUGGUAGAAGCUGAGAAACAAGCUGGAGCUGGUAGAAGCUGAGAAGCUAAAAAACCUGUUUGGUAACUGCUCAUGAGUUAUGCUCAUAGCUUUGCUCGCUUGGUGUUGAGUUAUGCUUGUAUAUAUUUAGAAUUGUGAGAAGCUUUUGCUCACUUGGUGUUGAGUUAUGCUUGUAGCCUCUUAGGGAAGCCAAUGAGGCAGCUUGAGUUGGCAAGCAGGUUCCGCAUGGUCAUUCUUUGAGCAAUGUGUUUGUACUCUUUUUACUAGGUCAUUUUGUUUGGUGGCAAGUUUUUACAAUUUUUGCCAUGUGUCCAUCAUGAUCCGCUACUUUUUUUAGCAUGAAUAGCACAACAGGUUUUGCAUAUUUUUUUGGAUAUGGGUAAUUUGAGGGGGUGUAUGAGGUUGGCAUCUAAAGAUGGGUGUCAAGAAAAUGGCCACCUUUUGCAUAUGAACUUGCAGUUUACUUAGUUUCUGUUAUGGAUUUAAGGGACGAAGGUGGCAACUUCGGUCUUGGUCUGAUGGAUGGAAUAAGAUAUGGCGGGUCCUUUUGAAUUGGUUAAUCCUUCUAGCGGAGCUCUAGGCAUCAUGGGCGGGUCGACCCAUUGCACAUAUUGUCGCGAGCGGGAGAACCGAGCAUUGUAACAACCGGAGCUUUUGUUACUACUUUUCAUGGUCUUCUAUCUCCCGCCAUCGUGACACAAGGGAAAGUGAUGCGAUCUGUAGUGAUGAUCAAAGAAGAUACAUGGGAGCUUUUGGUACUUUUGAUGGCCUUGUUGAUCCUGAGAUUCUUGAAGCUCAUGCUUUGCUGUGAGGCCUUCUCUUUGGCUUCUGAUUUAUACCUCCAAAGGAUUAAAGUGUCUACAUAUUGUAUGGCAAGAGUCAGCCACCUGAACAAGAAUUGUCUUUGUCCCUCGAGCAUGAUUAUCAGGGAUAUCAAGGAGAGACAGGGGUCUUCUGGGUUACUGAUAUUGUGCACGAAGGGGGAGAAGAUAAUUUUAAAGCGCAUGAUCUUGGGAAGGUGAAAUCGCCCCUAGCAGUUGGGAGGCUAGCUAAUAUACAUUAUCGACAUUUGGAUAAAGUGGUGACCUCUCAAAAAAAAUGUAACAACCGCAGCUAUAGCUAACCCACGUACAAUAGCAAACAGGCUGAUGUAGCAACCGAGCGAUGUACCAACAUUUUUUGAAAACGCGAUUUUUCUGGCAAUUUAUGAACCUUUUUUAAAAACACAAACAAAAUUUGAAUUAGUACAAUUUUUGAGACACGGGUAUUUUUGACAUUCCAAGCAUUUUUAAAAAAAAAUCUGAACACUUUUAAAACAUAUGUGAGCAAUUUUUGAACAUUUUUCAAAAAUUCCAAACAAAAAAUGAAACUAAGAAAAGCAAUGAAAACCAGUGGAGAAAAAGAACAGAGAACGAAACACCAACAUGAAACUUUCCAGAAUGUUCCUAAACAAGAGUAACACGGAGCAAUUAAUGUGCCGGCCCAAAUCCUAGUUUCCUGUGCGAUUGGGCGAUUAUUGACGCUGAAUGCGUCAAAUAGGAACAUUGUCCUUUCGCACGAAUACUAUAUCUCGCCUACUGCAAGACAGCACACCGUCUCAAAGUAGACGAUCACGAGAUGUGUUGGCCCAGUAUACGUCUCUGGUAGGCAGUGUAGGAAGGUUCCAUGACCGGUUCUUGAAACGUCUACACGAUUUUUUGUUCUUUUCCAUUCCUAUAUGUUUCUCCACCGAUUAUCUUCAUAUUUUUUCUUUCUUUCCAAGACAUGUACUUUCCUAAUUGCACACUGUAUAAUUAGUUUACACAUGGAACAUUUUAUAUAUACACGUAGAACAUUUUUCAAAUAGUCAAUGUACAUUUAUUCAAAUACAUAUUUUGAACUUUAUAGGAAUACUUUUUUUUCUAAUACAGAUUGAACAUAAUUUUAGUACCAUGAAAUUAUUAUGUUUGAACAACGUGAACAAUAUUUAUAUUGUAUAAAUGGCUUUCAAAAAUAUGACAAACUCUUUUUUAAAGCGAUGAAAAAAAUUGAAACACAUAAAUCAUUUUUAAAAUGUCAUGGACAAUGUUUUAUUAACGAUAUUAACAUUUUAACAAAUUGUUGAUUCCAUGUUCAAGAAAUAUUCAUGUAGUGUAAAAAAAAUUCCUGCAACUUUGUGAACAUUCAUGUAGUUGCAAUAUUUUUUUUUACACUACAUGAAUAUUUCUUGAACAUGCAAUGAACACUUUUUCAAAUAUUGGAGUAACCUAACGUUUUAUAUACAUAUAUUGCAAACAUCUCAACAUACUAUAAAGAAAAGAAACAAAAAAAGAAAAAUGAACAAUACAAAUUAACAAAUAGAAAUCAGCCGAGGACAGUAGUAACAAACACACACUACAGGCAUGGCCCACUGGCCUAUCGCCUAAGAAGGCGAGGCUACCUAGACGCCCACGAGACUUUUGGUGGAGCUAUAUCUCGCUUAUAGCGCAAAAUCACUAGUUAAGGAUUACCCCUGUAAAUGUCACUUUCCAAUUUUUCUGUUGCUUCACUGUAUGUGCGUCACUUAUUGUAACCUAAAGUUUCCCUUUUAUUCAAAGAUUUCUUUUUUUAACGGUUUUUCCCUCUUUGGAAAACACAAUUGUGCUUUUCAUGGAAGCAAGGCUAUGUUUCUCACGAUUAUGCUUUUCCUUUUUGGAAAGCAAAAUUGCACUUCUCCCAGAAGCAUAUGUUGUGAUUCUUCCAAAAAAACGAAGCUUCUUAAUUUUUUUUUCACCAAAUCCAAGGAAAAACCCAAGAAACAAAAUAAAACCAAAAAACACGUACAUAAAUAAAAAAGAAAAUCACGAGGAUGCGCCAAGACCUCCACACGUGUCGGUUGCUAGGCGUACCAGUUGGUGCGCUCUUAGGCAAAAAAAAAGACCUUUGCGGGAGACCUCCAAAGGAUACGCCUUGAUUAGGUGCUCUCCUUCUUGCGUAAUGGUAGUCCUCCUUCCUUCAUUUCCCCGUAGUGCCACAUGAAUAGGUCGGCAUAGUGACGUGUUUUAUGAGUCGUGUGUUCUUUUUUUUUCCGAGAAAACUUUCGAUCUAUUCAUUUUCAAUCAUGGCAGUACAACGAACAUCAGAAAUAAUAAAAAUUACAUUCAGAUCCAUAGAGUUGUGUUUUCGUUCUAACGCUGCUAGUUUCGGAUUUUUCUUCCUCUUUUUUUCUUUGGUCUUUUCAAUUUCUUCAUCGCUUAGUUCAUUUUUAGUCGUUGUACUUUGAUUUUUUGUAUCUUGUUGGAUUUCUCUGAUUUUUUGUUUUAUUUUUCUUUUGUUCCUUGCUUAGUCUUCUUCGGCAGUUUUCAACACAAGUUAACAUUUUUCGCAUACAUCAUGUACGUUUUUUAAUACAUGUUUAAUAUUUUUCAAACAUGUGCUUAAUAUUUUCCCAAAUUUAUGCUUUGAUGAUUAUUUUAGUUUAGCCACAUAUUGU